GACGAACGCUGGCGGCGUGCUUAACACAUGCAAGUCGAACGAUGAAGAAAAGAAUUGAAGCUUCGGCAGAAAUUCAUUUCGGAUUAGUGGCAGACGGGUGAGUAACGCGUGAGCAACCUACCUCUUACAAAGGGAUAGCCUCGGGAAACCGGGAUUAAUACCAUAUAACAUUGCGACGAAGCAUUUCGAUGCAAUCAAAGCUACGGCGGUAAGAGAUGGGCUCGCUUCCCAUUAACCAGAUGGUGAGGUAACGGCUCACCAUAGUAACGAUGGGUAACCGGCCUGAGAGGGUGAACGGUCACACUGGAACUGAGACACGGUCCAGACUCCUACGGGAGGCAGCAGUGGGGAAUAUUGCACAAUGGAGGGAACUCUGAUGCAGCGACGCCGCGUGAGUGAUGAAGGAAUUCGUUUCGUAAAACUCUGUUCUAUGGGAAGAAAAGGACUGUACCAUAGGAGAAAGCGCCGGCUAAAUACGUG
RNAcentral lists this ribosomal RNA (480 nucleotides) under uncultured bacterium. Its description in RNAcentral is "partial 16S ribosomal RNA". It matches the Rfam family "Bacterial small subunit ribosomal RNA", at positions 28 to 507 of the family's 1533-position model. The record is from RNAcentral.